UGCGGUUUUUGGGGAGUUUUCGUCAGGCUCAUAACCUGAAGGUCGUAGGUUCAAAUCCUACCCCCGCAACCA
RNAcentral lists this transfer RNA (72 nucleotides) under Alphaproteobacteria bacterium TMED199. Its description in RNAcentral is "tRNA-Met". The stretch from base 10 to 69 matches the Rfam family "tRNA". Rfam says of the family: Transfer RNA (tRNA) molecules are approximately 80 nucleotides in length. Their secondary structure includes four short double-helical elements and three loops (D, anti-codon, and T loops). Lineage: Bacteria; Pseudomonadati; Pseudomonadota; Alphaproteobacteria. The record is from RNAcentral.